GCGUCCUUAGUUCAGUUGGUAGAACGCGGGUCUCCAAAACCCGAUGUCGGGGGUUCGAGUCCUCCAGGGCGCGC
RNAcentral lists this transfer RNA (74 nucleotides) under Halomicronema hongdechloris C2206. RNAcentral describes it as "tRNA-Trp". It matches the Rfam family "tRNA". From Rfam's summary of the family: Transfer RNA (tRNA) molecules are approximately 80 nucleotides in length. Their secondary structure includes four short double-helical elements and three loops (D, anti-codon, and T loops). The record is from RNAcentral. Lineage: Bacteria; Bacillati; Cyanobacteriota; Cyanophyceae; Nodosilineales; Nodosilineaceae.